RNAcentral lists this ribosomal RNA (253 nucleotides) under uncultured bacterium. Its description in RNAcentral is "partial 16S ribosomal RNA". It matches the Rfam family "Bacterial small subunit ribosomal RNA", at positions 524 to 776 of the family's 1533-position model. The record is from RNAcentral.
UACGAAGGGGGCUAGCGUUGUUCGGAAUCACUGGGCGUAAAGCGCACGCAGGCGGAUUGAUAAGUCGGGGGUGAAAUCCCGGGGCUCAACCUCGGAAUUGCCUUCGAUACUGUCUGUCUUGAGUCCGGGAGAGGUGAGUGGAAUUCCUAGUGUAGAGGUGAAAUUCGUAGAUAUUAGGAAGAACACCAGUGGCGAAGGCGGCUCACUGGCCCGGUACUGACGCUGAGGUGCGAAAGCGUGGGGAGCAAACAGG